This 230-nucleotide ribosomal RNA is filed under the name Mesorhizobium sp. ISOM113_OTU1159. Its description in RNAcentral is "partial 16S ribosomal RNA". It matches the Rfam family "Bacterial small subunit ribosomal RNA", at positions 29 to 289 of the family's 1533-position model. The record is from RNAcentral. RNAcentral also lists the same sequence under 2 other names. Lineage: Bacteria; Pseudomonadati; Pseudomonadota; Alphaproteobacteria; Hyphomicrobiales; Phyllobacteriaceae.
ACGAACGCUGGCGGCAGGCUUAACACAUGCAAGUCGAGCGCCCCGCAAGGGGAGCGGCAGACGGGUGAGUAACGCGUGGGAAUCUACCCAUCUCUACGGAACAACUCCGGGAAACUGGAGCUAAUACCGUAUACGUCCUUUUGGAGAAAGAUUUAUCGGAGAUGGAUGAGCCCGCGUUGGAUUAGCUAGUUGGUGGGGUAAUGGCCUACCAAGGCGACGAUCCAUAGCUG